Electrophorus electricus (electric eel) is the source of this 3096-nucleotide long non-coding RNA. RefSeq lists it as uncharacterized. NCBI's taxonomy places the organism in Eukaryota, Metazoa, Chordata, Actinopteri, Gymnotiformes, Gymnotidae. The record is from RefSeq and is a predicted model, not a curated record.
UUCAGUCUGAGGGGGACCAUACGAUCCUGCCCACUGCCGACUAAGCAGUCUAGCCUAGGCUGCAGUGCAGCCGAAAUGGGGGCAUGGCCCCAUGCCAUAUAUUAGGCAAAAAAACUAACUCACUGGUUAAUUUAACGUUAGUCACCAAAUUAAAGCAUUUGUUGUAGGCUACUGCCUGGCUUCCCGUGCGGGAGCACUUUCAUACAGAGGGCUGCGUUAAACUGCUAGGUUUAGUUACUCGAAACAGUUUAAAAAUCCAUCGCGUCGCUUGCGUGGAGGUCCGCUGUGAAACUUCGGGUGAAACGGGACAAAAACAACAACAGAGGCUUUAACCUGUUUUCUCCUUUAAUCCACUGCAGUACAAGAGCUAUUUGUGCAGACAAUCAUGGUUCCUGCUUCAAAAACAGACUAACAGGAGCAAUGGAGGAUCCCCUGAGGAUUGGACGCUGGGUCCCUGUGCUGGCCAGGAUGCAGAAAUGCUGCCAUGAAAAUUCAGCAUUCCUUCCGCCUGAUGUGGGCUAGAAAUAGUCUCUCCAUUAACAUUAAUUGAGUGGGGUGGGGGUGGGGGUGGGGGGAUCAUCUCCCCACCCCCCAUAUAUAUUUUUUUUGUUUUCUAAAUUGUGUACAUCUUUAUUUUUUAUGGUAUGUGGUAAAGAUGAAUUAUGACCUUGGGGCUGAUUUUAUUUCCCCAUGUGUAUGAUUUAAUACUAUGUUAGAAGCGCUUGGGACUCUAAGCCUUGUUGAUAAGCUCAAGUUUUUUGGAGGAGAUGGAGAAAUGCCAAAUGACACAAAGCACCUCGCGACAGGCAUGACAGAUUGGAGCUGUAAAAGACCCACACGUCUGUGUUGUUUACAACCUCCAUGGGCAGCCCCAACCCCCCCCCCGCCUCCCAGGGGCCGAGAGAACCUGCAGCAGCAUGUCACCCACUUGACCACACCCCAAAAAGCAGGAUCCUUUUUAUUUCAGCAUUUGUACCGUUCUGUAGCUCCAUGGACCUGCCAAGGACCAAGUUUUUCUUUUCCAUAUUUGUAGUAUCACUGCUAUGGGCAAAUAUGCCCACUAACCAAAUACACUUUCUCUUCCAGCUCACAAAUCCCUGAAUCCUAAAUUAUGCCAGACCGUGAACUCAUUGAGUUAGUUGGUCUCUGUUACACUGGUUCUCCCGCCGUUUCAGAUUCAACUCUGCCUCCACUCUACAGCAACUGAUCUGUCUCCACACACUAAACUGCUCAAACAAUACCUACUAUCUCACACUCUACAGUAUUUACUAAGGCUAAGAGUCCCUAAUUCCCAUGCAGUUAGUAGAAGCUUUAUAGUACAUAGGGUGUGCUUUUUUUUUUUUUUUUUUUUUUUUUUUUUUUUUUUUUUUUUUUUUUUUUUUUUUUUUAAUUAUUAUUAUUUUUUUUAUAAAGACCUUGUUUUAAGGUUUUUAGCUUCUUUUUUUUUCUUUUGCUCUGCCAGUAUAUUAAAGUGUAAUCAUGUGCGUUGUGAUAUAGAAGUAGCUGUAGAAAACGCAUCGUUUCCUUGUGGUAAGUGAUUGAGAUGCUGCCACGGAUUUGAGACACUGAUGAAUGGUGCUAUUUUGGACUGUAAUCUGCUCCUUGGUAAGGUAGCUAAGAUGGUUUUUAUUUCAUAUUUUAACGUUCAGAGGAGGUGUUGGUUCUUUGUUGUAUGGUUGUCGUAACUUGGUCUGGAUUGACUCCCCCCCCCCCUGUUGUUUCUCUGCGGCUUUCUCAUUGGAUUUCAAAGGAUGGACGUUACAACAAAAACAAACAAGCAAACAAAAAACCCGAACAGUUUUCUUUGAGGAGACAAUCUCUUGCAAUUUUAUGACCGUAAAGACAGCGGGAGCAAUCACAAAACUGCAAUUAAACAGUGUUUUCCCUUUAAGGUUGAGAGUUAGUAUGAAGGGUUAGUAGCCCUUCUUGGCAUUAGUAAUUUUGGCAAUAGCAAACCAUCUGUGAACUCUUUGUCUUUGAUAUAGUAGUGUCAAAGAUCUGUGUCUAGGAGUGUAUUUCACAUGGUUUAGCCAUUAAUUACUUUAAUUCAAAUAUACAGGAAGUCAGAAAAGGUAUUGUUGCAUAAUGUAAAUGUUGCUAUUUUAAUAUUCUUUGCAGUUGAAAUGGAAGUAGAUGCCUUGGAGGUUGGGUGGAGGUGGGCUUUUUUUAAAGCACUCGUUCUCUUUCUUAAGGCGCAUGAAUACUCUUUUACCCAGGGAAACAGCAAUGUAUGUUGUCUGCCUGAGGGUUAUUCCACAAAGCAGGAUUUGUCAGUUAACUGCAUAGCUUGGUCACCCAGAUACGGUUGACCUACGGGUGGCCUGCUAAUGGAGAAAUCUUGCUUUGUGCUGCGCCACCCCAUGCACUGGUUGCUCCAGGGUUACUAAUCUGGCUGCAUAUUCUUUACCAGCUGGUAAUUAUUGGAUGCUUCUGGGGUUCUGUAUGGCCUGGCAAAUGAGAUCCCAGCGCUCAGUAGCCAAAAUCUGAUCAUGCUUUUGUUCUGGGCUAAAAAUGUAGCACUGAUGAAUGAGUCUCACCUUUUUAAUCAAUGGUUUUAUGGAUGAGUCGUUGGUUGUUUUGAGAAUAGAAACCAAAACAGCUUUCUAUUUAUUCUUUUGGGUAAUUGAGUUCAGUAGCAAAGUAUUAUUAUUCAGUAUUUGCAGUUUUGUCUUUGCUUCCAGUUAACAUGUACUUUUAACAAUCCUAAUUCAAUGACCAACUUGAAAGCCCACGUCAGUUUCUUUGUCUUCCGUUUUUCCACUAUAGUGGGAACUUUCACAGCUUCUAAUCCUUCUCUAGUGCUGAUAGCAUACCAACAGCAUGCUUUCUGCUUUCUGCUUCUGUUUUUUGUUUUUUAAUUUUUCCCAUCUUGAUGCUAAUUCUGUUUGCGUUAUUCAGGUAUGCCAGCUGUCUUGUAAAUAGCGAGUAGCUUAGUAUCGACAUACCAUAGCAAACUCUGCCUAUGUAAUAACCAUUGGUGUAAAAAAAAAAAAAAAAAAAAUUUGUCAGCUUGUGAUCGAUAAUGAUGCACUAUGUAUUGUACAAGUAAUUUUGGCAAUUUAAGCAGUAGAUGAAUAAAUAUGCAAGCUCUCUUUG